CCUACGGGAUGCAGCAGUGAGGAAUAUUGGUCAAUGGGCGCGAGCAUGAACCAGCCAAGUAGCGUGAAGGAUGACUGCCCUACGGGUUGUCAACUUCUUUUAUAAAGGAAUAAAGUGAGGCACGUGUGCAUUUAUGUAUGAACUUAAUGAAUAAGGAUCGGCUAACUACGUGCCAGCAGCCGCGGUAAUACGGAGGAGCCGAGCGUUAGCCGGAUUUAUUGGGUGUAAAGGGAGCGUAGACGGGUUGUAAGUCAGUUGUGAAAGUUUGGGGCUCAACCGUAAAAUUGCAAUUGAUACUGGCAGUCUUGAGUACAGUUGAGGUAGGCGGAAUUCGUGGUGUAGCGGUGAAAUGCUUAGAUAUCACGAAGAACUCCGAUUGCGAAGGCAGCUUACUAAACUGCCACUGACAUUGAUGCUCGAAAGUGUGGGUAUCAAACAGGAUUGGAUACCCUGGUAGUC
Molecule: ribosomal RNA, 459 nt
Filed under: uncultured bacterium
Lineage: Bacteria
Description: partial 16S ribosomal RNA
Rfam family: Bacterial small subunit ribosomal RNA
Source: RNAcentral